CUUUUCGAGGUAGGAGUCGACUCCUGUGAGGUAUGGUGCUGGGUGCAGAUGCAGUGUGGCUCUGGAUAGCACCUUAUGGACAGUUGUGUCCCCAAGGAAGGAUGAGAAUAGCUACUGAAGUCCUAAAGAGCAAGCCUAACUCAAGCCAUUGGCACACAGGCAUUAGACAGAAAGCUGGAAGUUGAAAUGGUGGAGUCCAACUUGCCUGGACCAGCUUAAUGGUUCUGCUCCUGGUAACGUUUUUAUCCAUGGAUGACUUGCUUGGGUAAGGACAUGAAGACAGUUCCUGUCAUACCUUUUAAAGGCAGACCUGUUAUCCUAAACUAGGGUUUUUAAUGACCACAACAAGCAAGCAUGCAGCUUACUGCUUGAAAGGGUCUUGCCUCACCCAAGCUAGAGUGCAGUGGCCUUUGAAGCUUACUACAGCCUCAAACUUCUGGGCUCAAGUGAUCCUCAGCCUCCCAGUGGUCUUUGUAGACUGCCUGAUGGAGUCUCAUGGCACAAGAAGAUUAAAACAGUGUCUCCAAUUUUAAUAAAUUUUUGCAAUCCA
This 550-nucleotide long non-coding RNA is filed under the name Homo sapiens (human). Its description in RNAcentral is "growth arrest specific 5". Lineage: Eukaryota; Metazoa; Chordata; Mammalia; Primates; Hominidae. The record is from RNAcentral.